Molecule: long non-coding RNA, 658 nt
Organism: Daktulosphaira vitifoliae (grape phylloxera)
Lineage: Eukaryota; Metazoa; Arthropoda; Insecta; Hemiptera; Phylloxeridae
Exons: 3
Source: RefSeq, a predicted model, not a curated record
UGUCAACUAUAUUAGAACUCCUACAUCAACGAACAAUUCAUCACCAAUACAACUGAAAUUAAGGCCACCAACGGUUUAUCAAGAGAUAAUUUUUGACUGUAAAUGAACAUUGAAUACAGAUCACUACAUUGACAUUCGUUAAGUUUUAACUGUCAUUGCCUACACAGUAGCAUUUUUACCACGUACUCUGUUUUAUUGUACAUGCGCAUCCAUAUUAAUACUCUAUUGAUGUGCAUCGUAAAUAAUUAUUUUUCGUCAAACGAUAAAUCAGUGAAUAACGUUGACUGUCGUAUGAAAAUUCGUCAACAAUUUCUAUAUUUGUCAUAGUACUCGUGUUGUGUCAUUAUGGCUUAAGGAUUUACUUUGGGAUUAUCAUAAUAUUACAUCGAAUAAUGGAAUAUUUAUACAACCGAAUUAUACCUAGUGAUAAUCUGUCAACAAGGACGCCCACAAAAAUUUUCUCAGAGUGUACAAACAUUAUUGACGUCAAUUUAAAAUGUGGAACUAAUUCUUCAAUCACAUUGACUAAAAAAUCGAAAUUUACAUCACGACAACCUAACAUUUUUGUUAGGUUGUCUACCUAACGCUAAGCUAAAAUAUGUCAUCAAAAAAAUUUAUGUGUCAUGAAUUUUUAUUUAAAAUUUAAUAAAUUGUCCAA